Long non-coding RNA from Armigeres subalbatus, 1871 nucleotides. RefSeq lists it as uncharacterized. The record is from RefSeq and is a predicted model, not a curated record. The transcript is spliced from 3 exons. Lineage: Eukaryota; Metazoa; Arthropoda; Insecta; Diptera; Culicidae.
AAUACUACCAUAUUUAGCUAUCCUUCCUUUAUUAAUCACAAAAAAUGUUCCUCAACACAAUAGGUGUUUAGUGUCGUUUAGCCUAUCACCGACCAUAUAAGUAUACAUUUAAAGCCUGUCCACGUUUAAUUUCGGACACUUAGGUAAUGUCCAAUUGAUUUGUCGUCAUUUUAUCAAUUUGAGCGUGUUUAAAGCAUGCUGAAAGCAUUACAUAAUGCAGAAAGUGUAACCGAUGGUUUCAAAAUUAUCGCAUUGGCUCCACCAAAUGCGGGAAUUUGGGCGACCUCCUUUAUACGCCACUGGUCUAAUGGGAUAGGUGCUGCCAUCUAUGUCUGAGGUCGCGGGAGUUCAUUUUCGAAACAAAUUUAAGGUAAACCGUAUAUGGGAAUUUCAGUUCAUAAAAUCAAUAUGGUUCUCGAUAUGGACACUAGAGGGACUGUCAAAAUCAGUAUACAAUACAGAUGAAUUACCAAUACUUAUAAAAUAUAGACUUCUUGCUAGCAUGAUUGAACUAAUUCUUUCUUUCUGGCUCAAGACUUCAAGAAAGUUAGAAGUGCGCGGCGCGUGUUAAAAGUCGAGUUAUAGUUAUUCCUUAAAAGCUAAUUGUUAAAAAGCUUAAAAUAAAGUGUUAGUAGUGCAGUUAGUAAAUUAUUAAAGGGUGCUGUGUGGCUAAUAAAAGCGGUUCGCAUUCCAAGGGAAUUGCGUGCCACUGAACCUAGUGGAAAAAGGUAAAUGGAUCAAAAUGAUUGUAAAAGUCGUCGAAUGAAAUCUUAUCAGGUCACUAAUAUCAACCUGAACAGGCCUAACGAGGCCUUUUUCCAUUUGUUUAGGCCAGUCGUCUGGAUUUUCGGGAGAAACUGGUCCCAAACGCCCAACUUGCAUCUAUUUUGGAAUUUUCCAGAACAAAUCAAAUCCCUGAGCCAGAAAUCUUCCCUGCUGAUACUCCUUUGGGGUUAAUAGCAGAAGAGGGAUCCUCGACAUCACCAUAGUCCCACCACGUUUUUGGGACUUUUGUUAGACCAUUCUGAUCCGGAGUUCGACGCCAUUGUUGGAGACGCCAUCUUGAAUCGACAGGCCGAAUCGAUCGCUGAAAUAUCUUGGAAGUGAACCGGACCCCGGCGAUAAUAGGCCCGGUCUACCCCCACGCAGCGACAGAGAAAAUAAUUGUUGCACUUCCCACCAGAGGUUCUCCACCAUCGCUCCACCGUCAAGUCGGUUGAUUGGCCAAUCACUAUUGGUUCAUUCGGGCGACUUUUAUGUGUAGCAGAUCGAUCCAGAGGUUCCCCACCAUCACCGUAAGUGAGCCACCGAUCCACAGCAUCCAGAUAAACCGUAAGUCGCGCUGGUAUUAUUAAUUAAACCUAAAUUUCGUGCAAUAGGCAGUUACGUAAAUCGUGAUCACGAGGUUAGGCAAAUCUAGCUAGGUAUCCAAAAGUAAGCUAAAUAAAUAGCAUGAUGUUUGUACAACAAUUGUAUUUACCUAAAACCACCUAGCUUUCUAUUAGGAAAAGAAAUUUGAUGAUCUUAGAAAUCACAUUAUUUAAUUAAUUUCGCCCUAAAUUCGAUGCAAACUUUUUAAAACAAAAGUUUCCCACCCCUCGUUUUCUGAAAUCUUUCAGAGGGUAGAAAAGGUAAGAUCGAGCUAGCAAGUUGGUUUCAACCCUGGUAAAUGAACCUCGAGAGUUCAUCUAAAAUUAUGUUGUGAUUAUGCUGACCCUUCCCUGUAUCGAAAUGUAAACAAUUCGCAUAAAACGACCCUGGGAGUUUCCGAUUCACAUUUGAAUCCAGGAACGUUACAAAGGAGUUAUAAAAGAUUCAGCGGUCAUGUAAAUUGAUCGUCUCACUAGUUUGUGAAACUUUUUAAAAAUCGC